This 253-nucleotide ribosomal RNA is filed under the name uncultured bacterium. RNAcentral describes it as "partial 16S ribosomal RNA". It matches the Rfam family "Bacterial small subunit ribosomal RNA", at positions 524 to 776 of the family's 1533-position model. The record is from RNAcentral.
UACGUAGGGUGCAAGCGUUGUCCGGAAUUAUUGGGCGUAAAGAGCUCGUAGGCGGUUUGUUGCGUCGGCUGUGAAAUCCCGAGGCUCAACCUCGGGUCUGCAGUCGAUACGAGCAAACUAGAGUGUUGCAGGGGAGACUGGAAUUCCUGGUGUAGCGGUGAAAUGCGCAGAUAUCAGGAGGAACACCGAUGGCGAAGGCAGGUCUCUGGGCAGUUACUGACGCUGAGGAGCGAAAGCAUGGGGAGCGAACAGG